UCUCAACAAUAGAUGUGUGCGUUAUGAUGUCUUCAACUGGAUAUUCGAAAUUAAGAUGUGGAUGCAACGGUUUGAGGAUGUUCGUUUUAACUGGGUUCCUAGAAAACUCAACAAUCCUGCAGAUUGUCUUGCAAAUCUUCAACGUUUUUCUAUUUCUGAUUUUGUUUACCAUCACUCUAUCCCUUCUGUUAUUCUUGAUGCCGUAAACAAUGACUAUUGUAGUCUUUAUUAAUAUAUUGCAGAUUUGUGUUAAAAAAAAAAAAACAAAAAUGUUGUAACGAUUAUCCAGAAAUGUUGGGCCUAAUAUUUUUAAUCGUUAAGCCCAUAUAAUAACAGUUAGCAGACUUUGGUGCGUAUACUUCACCGUCUUCUACUAGAAAAA
Molecule: long non-coding RNA, 382 nt
Filed under: Capsella rubella
Lineage: Eukaryota; Viridiplantae; Streptophyta; Magnoliopsida; Brassicales; Brassicaceae
Description: long non-coding RNA (CRUB_LNC002758)
Source: RNAcentral